RNAcentral lists this ribosomal RNA (253 nucleotides) under uncultured bacterium. RNAcentral describes it as "partial 16S ribosomal RNA". It matches the Rfam family "Bacterial small subunit ribosomal RNA", at positions 524 to 776 of the family's 1533-position model. The record is from RNAcentral.
GACGAACCGAGCGAACGUUGUUCGGAAUCACUGGGCGUAAAGGGUGCGUAGGCGGGAUCUUAAGUCAGAGGUGAAAGCCUGGAGCUCAACUCCAGAACUGCCUUUGAUACUGGGAUUCUUGAGUUCGGAAGAGGUAAGUGGAACUGCGAGUGUAGAGGUGAAAUUCGUAGAUAUUCGCAAGAACACCAGUGGCGAAGGCGGCUUACUGGUCCGAUACUGACGCUGAGGCACGAAAGCGUGGGGAGCAAACAGG